GUAAAUAUUUGGCAAACCUGUCGAAAGAUGGGGACGCAAAGCUAUGGGUCUAAGGACAGAGGUCUAUGAUUGCCAGGUUGCCGUU
Molecule: non-coding RNA, 85 nt
Organism: Pelosinus fermentans B4
Lineage: Bacteria; Bacillati; Bacillota; Negativicutes; Selenomonadales; Sporomusaceae
Source: Rfam